UACGUAGGUCGCAAGCGUUGUCCGGAUUUACUGGGCGUAAAGAGCGCGCAGGCGGCUGGUCAAGUCCGAUGUAAAAUCUCCCGGCUUAACUGGGAAACUGCAUCGGAAACUGAUCGGCUUGAAGGUGGGAGAGGGUAGUGGAAUUCCCGGUGUAGUGGUGAAAUGCGUAGAUAUCGGGAGGAACACCAGUGGCGAAGGCGACUACCUGGCCCAUUCUUGACGCUGAGGCGCGAAAGCUAGGGGAGCGAACGGG
Molecule: ribosomal RNA, 253 nt
Filed under: uncultured bacterium
Lineage: Bacteria
Description: partial 16S ribosomal RNA
Rfam family: Bacterial small subunit ribosomal RNA
Source: RNAcentral